UAUUAACCUUCCAUCAAGUAAAAAUAAUAACAAGGAUGCUGUUGGUUAUUUAGUGUUGUUCUGACAGGUGUGACGAAGACCUAGAAUUUCACAAUAGCUCUCCACAUGCUGUGCUUCUGUAUUUGUGUUAAGUGUUGCUAGGUUGAGUCUGAUUUUUUAAUUUAGUCUCACAUUUGUCAUCAGUCAAUUUAAUAUUUAGUUUUGCUAUUUUAUUAUAUUGAAAGUCUAUACUUACUCCUUAACACGCCAUCUCAAAUAAAUGAAGUGCUGAACAGACACAACUUAAGCAUAUUAUCUCACAAGAUGAAUUUCAUUUUCUCUCAUAUAAUAAAUUUGGCACAUAGACAUCAAGCUAGCAUCACCCAAAUAUAGCCACUAACCAAACCUCAGCAGCCAGUGGUAUAAAAGUCAGCACUGCACUAAAAGCAGCAUUAAGAAAAUCAAGCUUACAAAUUUUUGAGCAAAAUAAUUUUAAUUUCAUUCCUAACCAAACAUAUUUAUAAUGGAAAGCAGUGAUUUACAGGGGAAAAUGUGUACGGUGGGAGAUCAUUACAUAUUUACAGUGAAUGUGGCAGAAUUUGCACCAGAAGAAGUGAUUGUAACAUCCACCAAUAAUUGCAUACAAGUCCAUGCAGAAAAGUUGGCAUCGGAUGGAACAAUUGAGAACUCCGUUUGUCAAAAGUGCCAAUUCCCAGCUGAUGUGGAUCCAAUGUCAGUCACAUCAUUUCUAGAGAAAAAUGGCAUGUUGAGUAUUAAAGCUCACAAGGCCAUUGGACAUACAUAAUGCAUGGACAUAGGUUUGGAAAAAGUAUGUUUUACUUUAAAUGAUUUUAAGAACACAUAUCUGGAUUGUUAAACUAACAAAUCUGUUUAUUUUAAUAAAAUCAAUUACAUUAUGGUACAAACUGUAUGUUUAUAAUUAUACAUGUUUGUUAAUACAA
Long non-coding RNA from Misgurnus anguillicaudatus (oriental weatherfish), 941 nucleotides. RefSeq lists it as uncharacterized. The record is from RefSeq and is a predicted model, not a curated record. Lineage: Eukaryota; Metazoa; Chordata; Actinopteri; Cypriniformes; Cobitidae.